GCUUUGCUGACGAGUGGCGGACGGGUGAGUAAUGUCUGGGAAACUGCCUGAUGGAGGGGGAUAACUACUGGAAACGGUGGCUAAUACCGCAUAAUGUCGCAAGACCAAAGAGGGGGACCUUCGGGCCUCUUGCCAUCAGAUGUGCCCAGAUGGGAUUAGCUUGUUGGUGAGGUAACGGCUCACCAAGGCGACGAUCCCUAGCUGGUCUGAGAGGAUGACCAGCCACACUGGAACUGAGACACGGUCCAGACUCCUACGGGAGGCAGCAGUGGGGAAUAUUGCACAAUGGGCGCAAGCCUGAUGCAGCCAUGCCGCGUGUAUGAAGAAGGCCUUCGGGUUGUAAAGUACUUUCAGCGGGGAGGAAGGUGUUGCGGUUAAUAACCGCAGCAAUUGACGUUACCCGCAGAAGAAGCACCGGCUAACUCCGUGCCAGCAGCCGCGGUAAUACGGAGGGUGCAAGCGUUAAUCGGAAUUACUGGGCGUAAAGCGCACGCAGGCGGUCUGUCAAGUCGGAUGUGAAAUCCCCGGGCUCAACCUGGGAACUGCAUUCGAAACUGGCAGGCUUGAGUCUUGUAGAGGGGGGUAGAAUUCCAGGUGUAGCGGUGAAAUGCGUAGAGAUCUGGAGGAAUACCGGUGGCGAAGGCGGCCCCCUGGACAAAGACUGACGCUCAGGUGCGAAAGCGUGGGGAGCAAACAGGAUUAGAUACCCUGGUAGUCCACGCCGUAAACGAUGUCUACUUGGAGGUUGUGCCCUUGAGGCGUGGCUUCCGGAGCUAACGCGUUAAGUAGACCGCCUGGGGAGUACGGCCGCAAGGUUAAAACUCAAAUGAAUUGACGGGGGCCCGCACAAGCGGUGGAGCAUGUGGUUUAAUUCGAUGCAACGCGAAGAACCUUACCUGGUCUUGACAUCCACAGAACUUUCCAGAGAUGGAUUGGUGCCUUCGGGAACUGUGAGACAGGUGCUGCAUGGCUGUCGUCAGCUCGUGUUGUGAAAUGUUGGGUUAAGUCCCGCAACGAGCGCAACCCUUAUCCUUUGUUGCCAGCGGUCCGGCCGGGAACUCAAAGGAGACUGCCAGUGAUAAACUGGAGGAAGGUGGGGAUGACGUCAAGUCAUCAUGGCCCUUACGACCAGGGCUACACACGUGCUACAAUGGCGCAUACAAAGAGAAGCGACCUCGCGAGAGCAAGCGGACCUCAUAAAGUGCGUCGUAGUCCGGAUUGGAGUCUGCAACUCGACUCCAUGAAGUCGGAAUCGCUAGUAAUCGUGGAUCAGAAUGCCACGGUGAAUACGUUCCCGGGCCUUGUACACACCGCCCGUCACACCAUGGGAGUGGGUUGCAAAAGAAGUAGGUAGCUUAACCUUCGGGAGGGCGCUUACCACUUUGUGAUUCAUGACUGGGGUGAAGUCGUAACAAGGUAACCGUAGGGGAACCUGC
RNAcentral lists this ribosomal RNA (1436 nucleotides) under Salmonella enterica. RNAcentral describes it as "bacterial SSU rRNA". It matches the Rfam family "Bacterial small subunit ribosomal RNA". Lineage: Bacteria; Pseudomonadati; Pseudomonadota; Gammaproteobacteria; Enterobacterales; Enterobacteriaceae. The record is from RNAcentral.